This is an RNA transcript of Hippopotamus amphibius kiboko, 1684 nucleotides long. It is a transcript of the gene named DnaJ heat shock protein family (Hsp40) member C5, with no coding region annotated. The record is from RefSeq and is a predicted model, not a curated record. The transcript has 6 exons. NCBI's taxonomy places the organism in Eukaryota, Metazoa, Chordata, Mammalia, Artiodactyla, Hippopotamidae.
GACUCGACGGGCUUUGGGGAGCUUCCUGGCUGGGAGUGGGCGGCUCUCCUUCCACCUGUGUCCGGGCCGUGGGACUUGGGUCGCCUCCGAUGGCACGUGGCCGAGUGGCAGGUGCUUCAGCAGCGCGGGGCACACGCGUCGCAGGACCCCCGUGCCUGGCUCCUUCGGCCCUGGUGAGCGCAGAGCACCCCGGGGUUGUCCGCCGGGCGGACGCUAGGGAGGCACGUGGAGGAGACCUGGCCUCGCUGAGGGGCCUCAGCUGUGGAGCCAGUGUGGCCUCAGGUGGGGACCCUCGCAAGGCAGGGGGUGCCUGCCAGGCCAGCCCCGUGCUCUGUGGCCAGUCUCCCUCCCGCUGGCGCCUCGGCUCGCUCUGAUCCCCGCCGCGGUGGCCUGUUUGCCAGUCUCUCAGCAGACUCCUGGCGCUGCCCGGGUCGCUGGCGUCCUCACUCUCGGGCUCAGGGACGGCAGGCCUUCCUUGACGGCCUUCCCUGGAAUUUCAGCUCGCCACCUCCUGUGGCCUGUCUCCCUUUCCCGCUGAGUUUCCCCACAGCACUUUCUUCUUCUAAUGUCCUGUUUAAUAUAGGUAUUAUAGUUAAUCUUUUACUAAGAGGUGAAGUCCACAGGGAGGCUGUUUUGUGCAACGAACAGUGGCUGGCACUUACUGCGUGCCCAGGAAAUGCUGAUGGAAUGAAUGGAAGUGGUGAGCUUAGCAGCAGCUCUGCGAUACAGUGACCUUGUCACUCAGAAGUCACUGUGGACUAGCCUGCCAUGGCAGACCAGAGACAGCGCUCACUUUCUACCUCUGGGGACUCCCUGUACCACGUUCUGGGGCUGGACAAGAACGCAACCUCGGAUGACAUCAAGAAGUCCUACCGGAAGCUGGCCUUGAAAUAUCACCCUGACAAGAACCCAGAUAACCCAGAGGCCGCAGACAAGUUUAAGGAGAUAAACAACGCCCACGCCAUCCUGACGGACGCCACAAAAAGAAACAUCUACGACAAGUACGGCUCGCUGGGGCUCUAUGUGGCCGAGCAGUUCGGGGAGGAGAACGUGAACACCUAUUUCGUGCUCUCCAGCUGGUGGGCCAAGGCCCUGUUUGUCUUCUGCGGGCUCCUCACCUGCUGCUACUGCUGCUGCUGCCUCUGCUGCUGCUUCAACUGCUGCUGCGGGAAGUGCAAGCCCAAGGCGCCCGAGGGCGAGGAGACCGAGUUCUACGUGUCCCCCGAGGACCUGGAGGCGCAGCUGCAGUCCGACGAGAGGGGAGGGCACUGACACUGUGCGGGAGUGUUUGUGGUGGCGGCGGGACGGUUGAGGUGUGGACGUGGAUGAUGGAGAGGCCGCAGACACGCCGAUCGUCAUCCAGCCGGCGUCCGCCACGGAGACCACCCAGCUCACAGCCGAGUCCCACCCCAGCUACCACACCGACGGGUUCAACUAGAUUCAGGAGAAGCUGUGAUUGGAGGAUCAGUCAGCACCCAGCCACUCAACCUUAGAAUCAUGAACUGUGGUCACAGAGAUGGGGCGGGAGCCGCCCUGGCCCCAGGAGGCCGCCGACCCGCCUCUGUGCCCGCCCAUCCACCGAUCCCCAACACAUGAAGUGCGUAGCAUGCAGUAUUUAAAGCAGUUUAGCUACGGUCUUCUUCUUCUGUUGUUUCCUUUUGUAAUAGCAUGUAUGGGGUUAUGU